GAUGAAGAACGUAGCGAAAUGCGAUAAGUAAUGCGAAUUGCAGAAUUUCCGUGAAUCAUCGAAUCUUUGAACGCACAUUGCGCCCCGUGGUAUUCCGCGGGGCAUGCCUGUUCGAGCGUCAUUUCACCACUCAAGCCUCGCUUGGUAUUGGGCGACGCGGUCCGCCGCGCGCCUCAAAUCGACCGGCUGGGUCGAUCGCACCCUCAGCGUUGUGGAAACUAUUCGCUAAAGGAGUUGUGGUCGGUCACGCCGUGAAACAAACCAAUCUUUCAAUGGUUGACCUCGGAUCAGGUAGGGAUACCCGCUGAACUUAAGCAUAUCAAUAAGCGGAGGA
Molecule: unclassified non-coding RNA, 334 nt
Filed under: soil metagenome
Description: partial contains 5.8S ribosomal RNA, internal transcribed spacer 2, and large subunit ribosomal RNA
Rfam family: 5.8S ribosomal RNA (bases 1-121)
Source: RNAcentral